CCUACGGGAGGCUGCAGUGGGGAAUAUUGCACAAUGGGCGCAAGCCUGAUGCAGCCAUGCCGCGUGUGUGAAGAAGGCCUUCGGGUUGUAAAGCACUUUCAGCGGGGAGGAAGGCGGUGAGGUUAAUAACCUCAUCGAUUGACGUUACCCGCAGAAGAAGCACCGGCUAACUCCGUGCCAGCAGCCGCGGUAAUACGGAGGGUGCAAGCGUUAAUCGGAAUUACUGGGCGUAAAGCGCACGCAGGCGGUCUGUCAAGUCGGAUGUGAAAUCCCUGGGCUCAACCUGGGAACUGCAUUCGAAACUGGCAGGCUGGAGUCUUGUAGAGGGGGGUAGAAUUCCAGGUGUAGCGGUGAAAUGCGUAGAGAUCUGGAGGAAUACCGGUGGCGAAGGCGGCCCCCUGGACAAAGACUGACGCUCAGGUGCGAAAGCGUGGGGAGCAAACAGGAUUAGAUACCCCGGUAGUC
RNAcentral lists this ribosomal RNA (465 nucleotides) under uncultured Klebsiella sp. RNAcentral's name for it is "bacterial SSU rRNA". It matches the Rfam family "Bacterial small subunit ribosomal RNA", at positions 338 to 795 of the family's 1533-position model. Lineage: Bacteria; Pseudomonadati; Pseudomonadota; Gammaproteobacteria; Enterobacterales; Enterobacteriaceae. The record is from RNAcentral.